Non-coding RNA from Ataeniobius toweri, 73 nucleotides. The record is from the annotation of a GenBank genome assembly. NCBI's taxonomy places the organism in Eukaryota, Metazoa, Chordata, Actinopteri, Cyprinodontiformes, Goodeidae.
UGCACGGUGGUGCAGUUGGUAGCACAGCAAGAAGGUCCUGGGUUCGACUCCCGGCCGGGGGGUCUUUCUGCAU